This 434-nucleotide ribosomal RNA is filed under the name uncultured Lachnospiraceae bacterium. RNAcentral's name for it is "partial 16S ribosomal RNA". It matches the Rfam family "Bacterial small subunit ribosomal RNA", at positions 341 to 792 of the family's 1533-position model. The record is from RNAcentral. Lineage: Bacteria; Bacillati; Bacillota; Clostridia; Lachnospirales; Lachnospiraceae.
ACGGAAGGCAGCAGUGGGGGAUAUUGCACAAUGGGGGAAACCCUGAUGCAGCGACGCCGCGUGAGCGAAGAAGUAUUUCGGUAUGUAAAGCUCUAUCAGCAGGGAAGAAAAUGACGGUACCUGACUAAGAAGCUCCGGCUAAAUACGUGCCAGCAGCCGCGGUAAUACGUAUGGAGCAAGCGUUAUCCGGAUUUACUGGGUGUAAAGGGAGCGUAGACGGUUUGCCAAGUCUGAUGUGAAAGGUGGGGGCUCAACCCCCAAACUGCAUUGGAAACUGGUAGACUAGAGUGUCGGAGAGGUAAGUGGAAUUCCUAGUGUAGCGGUGAAAUGCGUAGAUAUUAGGAGGAACACCAGUGGCGAAGGCGGCUUACUUGACGAUAACUGACGUUGAGGCUCGAAAGCGUGGGGAGCAAACAGGAUUAGAUACCCUGGUA